RNAcentral lists this ribosomal RNA (253 nucleotides) under uncultured bacterium. RNAcentral describes it as "partial 16S ribosomal RNA". It matches the Rfam family "Bacterial small subunit ribosomal RNA", at positions 524 to 776 of the family's 1533-position model. The record is from RNAcentral.
UACGUAGGGCGCAAGCGUUAUCCGGAAUUAUUGGGCGUAAAGAGCUCGUAGGCGGUCUGUCGCGUCUGCUGUGAAAACUCAGGGCUUAACCCUGAGCUUGCAGUGGAUACGGGCAGGCUAGAGUUCGGUAGGGGAGACUGGAAUUCCUGGUGUAGCGGUGAAAUGCGCAGAUAUCAGGAGGAACACCGGUGGCGAAGGCGGGUCUCUGGGCCGAUACUGACGCUGAGGAGCGAAAGCGUGGGGAACGAACAGG